RNAcentral lists this ribosomal RNA (254 nucleotides) under uncultured bacterium. RNAcentral describes it as "partial 16S ribosomal RNA". It matches the Rfam family "Bacterial small subunit ribosomal RNA", at positions 524 to 776 of the family's 1533-position model. The record is from RNAcentral.
UACGGAGGAUCCAAGCGUUAUCCGGAAUUACUGGGCGUAAAGAGUUGCGUAGGUGGCAUAGUAAGUUGGUAGUGAAAGCGUUCGGCUCAACCCUAUUUCCAUUAUUUGAACUGGCAGACUUGAGGAUGAGAGAGGUCGCUGGAAUUCCUAGUGUAGGAGUGAAAUCCGUAGAUAUUAGGAGGAACACCGAUGGCGUAGGCAGGCGACUGGCUCAUUCCUGACACUAAGGCACGAAAGCGUGGGUAGCAAACGGG